Molecule: transfer RNA, 76 nt
Filed under: Nitrospinota bacterium
Lineage: Bacteria; Pseudomonadati; Nitrospinota
Description: tRNA-Ile
Rfam family: tRNA
About the family: Transfer RNA (tRNA) molecules are approximately 80 nucleotides in length. Their secondary structure includes four short double-helical elements and three loops (D, anti-codon, and T loops).
Source: RNAcentral
GGACCAAUAGCUCAGUUGGUAGAGCCCCCGGCUCAUAACCGGGUGGUCGGAGGUUCGACCCCUCCUUGGUCCACCA